UUGGAGGGCAAGUCUGGUUGCCRGCAGCCGCGGUAAUUCCAGCUCCAAUAGCGUAUAUUAAAGUUGUUGUGGUUAAAAAGCCUCGUAGUAGAAGCUCGGGCUCCGGCCGACCGGAUCCGCCUCACCGCGWGCACUGGUUCGGCCGGGCCUUCACCUUCUGCGGAACCGCAUCUCCUUCACUGGGGGUGUCGGGGARACAGGACGUUUACUGUGAAAAAAUUAGAGUGCUCCAGGCAGGCCUAUGCUCGAAUAGAUUAGCAUGGAAUAAUGGAAUAGGACGUGUGGUCUUAUUUCGUUGGUUUCUAGGACCGCCGUAAUGAUUAAUAGGGACAGUCGGGGGCAUCAGUAUUCAAUCGUCAGAGGUGAAAUUCUUGGAUCGAUUGAAGACUAACUACUGCGAAAGCAUUUGCCAAGGAUGUUUUCAUUUAUCAGGAACGAAAGUUAGGGGAUCGAAGACGAUCAGAUACCGUCGUAGUCUUAACCAUAAACUAUGCCGACUAGGGRUCGGACGGUGUUAUUUCUUGACCCGUUCGGCGCCUUACGGGAAAC
Molecule: ribosomal RNA, 549 nt
Filed under: uncultured Ascomycota
Lineage: Eukaryota; Fungi; Ascomycota
Description: SSU rRNA
Rfam family: Eukaryotic small subunit ribosomal RNA
Source: RNAcentral